GUCAGGAUGGCCAAGCGGUCUAAGGCGCUGCAUUCAGGUUCCUGUCCACUCUUGUGGGCGUGGGUUCAAAUCCCACUUCUGAUA
Non-coding RNA from Araneus ventricosus, 84 nucleotides. NCBI's taxonomy places the organism in Eukaryota, Metazoa, Arthropoda, Arachnida, Araneae, Araneidae. The record is from the annotation of a GenBank genome assembly.